Molecule: microRNA precursor, 81 nt
Filed under: Sus scrofa (pig)
Lineage: Eukaryota; Metazoa; Chordata; Mammalia; Artiodactyla; Suidae
Description: microRNA ssc-mir-9821 precursor
Source: miRBase by way of RNAcentral
AUGCGUGAGAGCCUGGAUACGGCCGGACACCAGGGUCGCCGUCUGCUCGGCCACGGUCCGCCUUGCUGCGCCCUCACGAGC